Molecule: ribosomal RNA, 434 nt
Filed under: uncultured bacterium
Lineage: Bacteria
Description: bacterial SSU rRNA
Rfam family: Bacterial small subunit ribosomal RNA
Source: RNAcentral
AACGCGAAGAACCUUACCAAGGCUUGACAUCCAAUUAAACUCAUGGAAACAUGAGGUGCCUUCGGGCGAAUUGAGACAGGUGGUGCAUGGUUGUCGUCAGCUCGUGUCGUGAGAUGUUGGGUUAAGUCCCGCAACGAGCGCAACCCUUAUUGCCAGUUACCAGCAAGUAAAGUUGGGGACUCUGGUGAGACUGCCGGGGACAACUCGGAGGAAGGUGGGGAUGACGUCAAAUCAUCAUGCCCCUUAUGUUUUGGGCUACACACGUGCUACAAUGGCUGUAACAAAGGGAAGCGACAGGGUAACGUGAAGCGGAUCUCAGAAAAGCAGUCCCAGUUCGGAUUGUGGUCUGCAACCCGCCCACAUGAAGUCGGAGUUGCUAGUAAUCGCGAAUCAGAAUGCCGCGGUGAAUACGUUCCCGGGUCUUGUACACACCG